UCCAUUGUUAGAAAGAAAGAAGAGGUCUGGCGAAUCCAAUGGAGAUGCAGGGAUGAUGAGGGGAAACAAUUUUGGUUUCUUAGAUCAACCCAUUUUCCCCUGAUUCCGUUCGUGUUUUUCCUUUUUGCUUCUUCUUUCUUUUUAUUUUGGGAACUGAUAGACCAUAAUCUGUUGCCUUCCACGCUUUUUGCACAACACAGUUCCUAGGGUUUCUGCAAGUACAUAAUGCAUAUUACCCGUUCCUCACAUAGUCCUGCUUCUUCUUCAACAUUAGAACUACAUGCAUAUUUCAUUCACUAUCCAUUCUGUGGGUAUGAUGGGUGGAAAGAUGGGAUAGGAGGCAGAGGUUAUGCCAGGAACUCUCUAAUUCUCCACCUAAAUGACAAGCAUCUUGUCAAUGGAGAUGAAAAAAACGCUCUAGGCUUAGAUUAUCCUCCAUUCAUGAUGUCUACAAUGCCUGUGAGUUUGCUUUGCGGCAGCUGCAGAUGUGGUUAUACACAGAUUGCAUGUUGCUUCACGCUUGGAGUCGACCAUGUAGACAUGCAGGUGAGGUAUUAGUUGGUAGUAAAGAUGCAGAGUUUCUUAUACAUGGAGUUCCUUGCACAUCACCUGGUGAAUCCAGUUCUGCAGAUGGCCAUGUGAUGUUUUUACCUGGGUUCGGUUGUUGCUCUUGCUUGUGGGUGUGUUGCACUUGUAUAUCCCCAAGAAUAGCCAGGAAGAGAAAUAUGGAAAUCGUAAGAAAUUCCAGACUGCUUUUAUCACACAGUGGUUUGAUCCGGAGGGCUGUAUUAGGUUAAUUCAUAAGGUACUACUCGAGCAUCAACAACCUAACAUUAGAGGUCGUAAGAAGGUCAAUCAGGAGGCCAGCAAUCUAAAGGUGUGUUGAAAUAAGGUCCAGAAUGGGCUGUUCACAUCAGUCAUCAAAGUUAUCACCUCGAGUGGCAUAACACCAAAUAAUGAGGAUACUUUGAAUAGUCUAUUGGAUGAACACCGAUACGCCCCUCCUCCUCUCAUCCCUUCCCACCCCAUUGUUCCUUGCAGCGUUAUCUCGACUAAUAAUAUCACUCUUGGAAGGAUAAAGAGUUUUCCGGAGGGUUCGUCAUGUGGACGAGACGGUUUGAGGGUACAACAUCUUCUUGAUGCUCUCAACAGGCCAGCUGAAGUAGUUGCGGGGGAUUUACUCACAUCUAUCAACGGUGUCGUUAAAAUUUGGCUUGGUGGUUCAUGCUCUGCUCAGCUUGGCGAGUAUGUCGCAAGUACUCCACUCACUCCGUUGCUCAAGCCUGAUGGAGGAAUACGUCCCAUUACUGUAGGCACAAUGUGGAGAUGUCUAGUAUCCAAAGUUGUAGAUCAAAACAUUGGCAAAGAAAUGUGUGCGUACCUUGAAGAUUUCCAGUUUGGUGUAGGGGUUCCGUGUGGAGGAGAGGGUAUUCUGCAUUCGGUUAACAUGCUCAUUUGGGAAAAAGAUUGGUAGACCUGCUAAAGGGGUUAAGUUUCUUGGGGGGCCAGUGAGUCUUGAUCAUGGUUUUUCAGUGAUUGGGUCAAGUCUAGAGUUCUCAAGACUACGGAGUUGAUGGAUGCGGUAAAGAAAUUAGAGGAUCCUCAGUGUGAAUUACAUUUGCUCAGAAGGUUGUGCCGGGGUUUCCAAGUUAUAUUUUCCGAUGCGAACCACUAUGCCCGACUACAUAAUAGAGGCGCAAGAUGCGAUUCAAUAUUAUUACUUGGCCUCGGUUAUACAGAUACAACCCCUUCAAUCUGGUAUUAUGUGCAACACUUCUUUAGUGGGGGCCUAAUCUUGGUCUUCAGCGGUCUAUGGAAUUAUUUUCAAAGUGUAUGUCCCAAUGUCAACAUCGAUCUUACUGCCCUUCAUCCCAUAAAGGUUUUGGCAGUUAAGUAUUUAAGGUUGUCAUGAAGGUGAUGCCUGAGAAGUUUUCUAUGUCUGCUCGUGACUGUGCCCUUUGGAAAUAUAACAAGUCCAAUCAUGCUCCUGAUUUUCUUAAAAGCGUUACCUAUUGUAGAUGGCGGAUUUUCGACAAAGGCUAAAUUUGUAAACUCAUAAUCAUACGAAACUUUGAUUCAGCAAUCGGACGUGAGUAUCGAGAC
Long non-coding RNA from Papaver somniferum (opium poppy), 2103 nucleotides. RefSeq lists it as uncharacterized. NCBI's taxonomy places the organism in Eukaryota, Viridiplantae, Streptophyta, Magnoliopsida, Ranunculales, Papaveraceae. The transcript is spliced from 4 exons. The record is from RefSeq and is a predicted model, not a curated record.